This 18-nucleotide small RNA is filed under the name Arabidopsis thaliana (thale cress). RNAcentral's name for it is "ATSL014370". Lineage: Eukaryota; Viridiplantae; Streptophyta; Magnoliopsida; Brassicales; Brassicaceae. The record is from RNAcentral.
UUCUUCAACUUCCUUCAA